Corvus hawaiiensis (hawaiian crow) is the source of this 178-nucleotide long non-coding RNA. RefSeq lists it as uncharacterized. The record is from RefSeq and is a predicted model, not a curated record. The transcript has 3 exons. NCBI's taxonomy places the organism in Eukaryota, Metazoa, Chordata, Aves, Passeriformes, Corvidae.
AGGGUUGUUCUCUGUCCUUCUUUCUAGGAAGUGAAGCCAGAUAGCAGCAGUCAAGGUCAAGUGAGCGAGGUGUGCCCUGCGACGACGGCGUCGGCCUCUGAGUGUGGCCGGAGCAGGCGGGCCGAGGACCCGGGCAUUCUUAGGAGAUGAGGCAGAUGGAUUAAAUCCCUGGCAGAGU